GCCAUCCUGGUGUAGUGGUCAGCACGCUCGACGCGUAUUCGAGAGGUCCGUGGUUCGAGUCCCGGCGAGGGCA
Molecule: transfer RNA, 73 nt
Filed under: Stegodyphus mimosarum
Lineage: Eukaryota; Metazoa; Arthropoda; Arachnida; Araneae; Eresidae
Rfam family: tRNA
About the family: Transfer RNA (tRNA) molecules are approximately 80 nucleotides in length. Their secondary structure includes four short double-helical elements and three loops (D, anti-codon, and T loops). Further hydrogen bonds mediate the characteristic L-shaped molecular structure. tRNAs have two regions of fundamental functional importance: the anti-codon, which is responsible for specific mRNA codon recognition, and the 3' end, to which the tRNAs corresponding amino acid is attached (by aminoacyl-tRNA synthetases). tRNAs cope with the degeneracy of the genetic code in two manners: having more than one tRNA (with a specific anti-codon) for a particular amino acid; and 'wobble' base-pairing, i.e. permitting non-standard base-pairing at the 3rd anti-codon position.
Source: Rfam by way of RNAcentral